This 64-nucleotide transfer RNA is filed under the name Pseudunio marocanus. RNAcentral describes it as "tRNA-Leu". Lineage: Eukaryota; Metazoa; Mollusca; Bivalvia; Unionida; Margaritiferidae. The record is from RNAcentral.
GAAGGGUGGCAGAAAAGAGUGCACUAGACCUAAGCCCUAAUUAUGAGUUAAAUCUCCCCUUCCA